This 407-nucleotide ribosomal RNA is filed under the name uncultured bacterium. RNAcentral describes it as "partial 16S ribosomal RNA". It matches the Rfam family "Bacterial small subunit ribosomal RNA", at positions 28 to 526 of the family's 1533-position model. The record is from RNAcentral.
GACGAACGCUGGCGGCGUGCCUAAUACAUGCAAGUCGAGCGGAGCGGCGGACGUGUGAGUAAUGCCUAGGAAUCUUCCUGGUCGUGGGGGAUAACGUCCGGAAACGGGCGCUAAUACCGCAUACUAUCAGAUGAGCCUCGGUCGGAUUAGCUAGUUGGUGGGGUAAAGGCCUACCAAGGCGACGAUCCGUACCUGGUCUGAGAGGAUGAUCAGUCAAACUGGAACUGAGACACGGUCCAGACGCCUACGGGAGGCAGCAGGGGGGAAUAUUGGACAAUGGGCGAAAGCCUGAUCCAGCCAUGCCGCGUGUGUGAAGAAGGUCUUCGGAUUGUAAAGCACUUUAAGUUGGGAGGCGUUACCAACAGAAUAAGCACCGGCUAACUUCGUGCCAGCAGCCGCGGUAAUAC